Molecule: long non-coding RNA, 1369 nt
Organism: Neltuma alba
Lineage: Eukaryota; Viridiplantae; Streptophyta; Magnoliopsida; Fabales; Fabaceae
Exons: 4
Source: RefSeq, a predicted model, not a curated record
UACUGUCAGAUUAUGGUAAAAACUUAUAGAAGGAUGCAAACUCCCCUUGGGAUUGACAUCAUUUUCCCUACACAUUAGGCAUCGAUCCAUCAAUUGGGAGAAUGUUCCAUAGGCAAAUCUUUCUCAAACAGAACUUGCUGUACUAGGGUAUGAUGCAAUUUCAGAUCAAAAUUGUCAGGAUCAUUAAAUUUUCCCGGAAAAGGUGAUCUAGCUGCAGUGAAAGAGGGAUGUUUUCUUGAAGAUAGCCUUUCUCUUGUACCAUAAAUGCUUGAAAUUCUAACACAUUUCUUUUUUGUUUCUAACAAACUCAAAGUUCAGAAAUACUGCCUCCUUUGGCUCUUCACCAGGUCAAUAGUUAAUAACCCAGAAGAGAGUUGACUAAUUGUCUAAUAGUAGCUAUGAGGAAGUGUCAGAGGUGGCAUUUUUCCAUGAUUGAGAGGCCAAGAUUAUGAAUCCCUUUUCUGAGAUACAUAUACAUAUUUUGCAUUCCCUCUUACCAGUACAGCACUUUAACACUCAAUGCCGCUUCGCAGUCACUGAAAAUGCUUAGUCUGCCUAACCAUGUGCAAAGGAAAUUAUUUCCAAUUUUCCAUUCAAAGAGCACAAUCAAACUAGCAGUUCCAAUGUGCUAAAAGAAGACUAGUGGACUAAGCCCAAUAUUUGCUUAAGAUGUAUAACCAGAUUUUUUCAUUGACUUGCAUGACCGUGCUGCACGUUGUUUUUCGAAGAUGCGUCAUAAUGUGGCGACAAUUCCUCUAUUCAGGUCAUGAUAACCAGUGACAAGACUAGGAGUCUUUCUUCCUGAGGUGUCACCAAGUCAUCAAAAAGAGCAAGUCAUAUAAACAUGUUCUAUAUUCAAACUCCAUUAUUUGAAAAAGGAGAGUUGGGUGAACUACUGGGUCUUCAACUGUUAAGCGAAGUCACAUGAUGGUGGAACAGCGUGUUGAAAAGGGUGAAGAAUAUCUUUUAACAAUAAAAGGCUAUUUGCCGGUGGAGUGUAUCUUAAAGAAUUACGUAUCGAAGUAGAUGAGCAUCAUGUGGCGCUGAAUGAGGAGUAAACUAAUAUAUAUAUAUAUAUAUAUAUAAAUAUUCAUGUGUUUCGUGAAGAACACUCUUCACUUGCCAGAGUUAUUAGAUUUCAUUUCCUAGGAUGACAAGAGAGCAUGUAUUUCUGUCAAUUUCUUGGGCCAAUUUGCAGAGAAGAUACAGAAUUAGGUGAACAGAAUUAACAUACGAUGAAGCUUUUAUCUCAUAAUCAUAGGAAUGGGAUUGUUUAGAGUUGUUGAACUGUAAAAGUAGAGUUCAAUGAGUGUGCCUCUGAGCAUCCAAUACAAUAUAUACCCCCCCCACCAUGUGGCUUUUUGAUCAA